GAUGAACGCUGGCGGCGUGCCUAAUACAUGCAAGUCGAACGCGAGAGGAGGGAGCUUGCUCCCUCUGAUCGAGUGGCGGACGGGUGAGUAACACGUAGGCAACCUGCCCAUCAGCCGGGGAUAACUGCGGGAAACCGUGGCUAAUACCGGAUAAUCCUCUCCACCGCGGGGUGGGGAGUUGAAAGACGGUUUCGGCUGCCGCUGAUGGAUGGGCCUGCGGCGCAUUAGCUGGUUGGCGGGGUAACGGCCCACCAAGGCAACGAUGCGUAGCCGACCUGGGAGGGUGAUCGGCCACACUGGGACUGAGACACGGCCCAGACUCCGACGGGAGGCAGCAGUAGGGAAUCUUCCGCAAUGGACGAAAGUCUGACGGAGCAACGCCGCGUGAGUGAUGAAGGCUUUCGGGUCGUAAAACUCUGUUGUUAGGGAAGAACAAGUGCUAGUUGAAUAAGCUGGCACCUUGACGGUACCUAACCAGAAAGCCACGGCUAACUACGUGCCAGCCGCCGCAGUAA
RNAcentral lists this ribosomal RNA (515 nucleotides) under uncultured bacterium. Its description in RNAcentral is "partial 16S ribosomal RNA". It matches the Rfam family "Bacterial small subunit ribosomal RNA", at positions 28 to 523 of the family's 1533-position model. The record is from RNAcentral.